GAAGUAAAGUCGUAACAAGGUUUCCGUAGGUGAACCUGCGAGGAUCAUUAAUAAAUGGCUCCGUUAGGAGCACUUAAUAAUCCUACCUUUGUGUAUUGUUGUUGAAAUAAUUUUUUUUAAAAUAUGAAUGUCUUCCCUGUUGAAUUAGAGUGUUUUCGGACACAAGAUUCGCAGGGAUAGUCAAUAAUUUUAAAAGACUUUUUUAAAUUAAACUUUUUGUAUUCAUUGUCUAAAAUUAUUUUAUAAUAUAAAAACAACUUUUGACAAUGGAUCUCUUGGUUCUCGCAACGAUGAAGAACGCAGCAAAAUGCGAUAGUAGUGUGAUUGCAGAAUACGUGAAUCAUCGAAUCUUCGAACGCAUAUUGCACUUUUUAGUUUACUAAAAAAGUAGUCUGUUUGAGUAUCAGUAAAUAUUCUCAUAAAAACAUUGUUUUAUGGUUAUGAGUGUUUUACACGAUACAAGUGUUUCACUUUAAAUUUUUUUAAAAUUUGAAUUUUUUCUAAUUUUAAAAUAAAUUGGAUAAAAUUUCCCGUAAAAGAUAACCUAAACAAUUUUAAUUUAAAUUAGAAACCUUCAAAAAAAGGAAUUUAAUAAAUAACUUGAUCUCAAAUCAGAUAAGAGUACCCGCUGAACUUAAGCAUAUCAAUAAGCGAGGAAAAGAAACUAACAGGAUUCCUUAGUAACGGCGAGUGAAGCGGGAAGAGCUCAGAUUUGAAACCUUCAAGUUUUACCUUGACGAAUUGUAGUUUAAGGAAGUGUUUUCUGUUGAAGUUUUGGUAAAAGUUCUUUGGAAUAGGACAUCAUAGAGGUGAGAAUCCGUAUUUGACAUUAUUUUCAGCUGUGUGAUACACUUUCAAAGAGUCGGAUUGUUUGGGAAUGCAGUCCAAAUGGGUGGUAAUUUCAUCUAAAGCUAAAUAUUGGCGAGAGACCGAUAGCGAACAAGUACCGUGAGGAAAGAUGAAAAGAACUUUGAAAAGAGAGUUAAACAGUACGUGAAAUUGUCAAAGGAAGCGUUUGACACCAGUGUUGUUUUCUCGAAAAUCAAUUAAAAAAGGUUGGAUUUGUGUUGUAUUGACCUUAACAGCUUUCUCACUCUUUCCUGCUUUUUUUAAUGCACUUUUCGUUUAACAAGUCAACAUCAGUUUCUUUGUUGUAAAGGGUCAUUGGAAGUGGCUUUCUUUCGGAGAAAGUGUUUAUAGCCUUUGAUCUCUGCAAUCGGAGAGACUGAGGUCUGCAGCGUAGAUCCUUCGGGGUUAGAUACAUUUGUGCUAAGUAUAACUUUCAUAGACAAUUUUGACUAUGUUUAGUCAUGUAGCUUACUCGCUUAUGCUAUUUUACCUACGCUUAGGAUGUUGAC
RNAcentral lists this unclassified non-coding RNA (1358 nucleotides) under uncultured Neocallimastigales. RNAcentral describes it as "partial contains small subunit ribosomal RNA, internal transcribed spacer 1, 5.8S ribosomal RNA, internal transcribed spacer 2, and large subunit ribosomal RNA". The stretch from base 602 to 1358 matches the Rfam family "Eukaryotic large subunit ribosomal RNA", at positions 1 to 630 of the family's 3401-position model. Lineage: Eukaryota; Fungi; Neocallimastigomycota; Neocallimastigomycetes; Neocallimastigales. The record is from RNAcentral.